UCAUUAUGAUGCGAACACGAACAAUUAAAGACACAGAAAUGAGAAAGGAACCACUGAACAAGUGCGACCUAAAUGUCGACGUACAAUUUUUUACAGAAACAAAUAAAAUAUUUUUUUUAUUACACUUUCUGACUGCACAUAAGCAUACUCUCUGCAAUCCGAGAUGAAACCUUCGCACAAGGAGGUGAUUGUUAGUGAUAUACCCUAAAGCCAAUCGGUGACACAGGCUUGUGAAUAUAUUAAGUAUUUUUCUUAAUUAAUAAAGGGCAAGUUUUAUUCAUAUUUAUUGUUAGCAGUACAAUACAUAUAUAUGAAUCGUCCAUUGAAUCUUUGUUAAGAAAAUAUAUUCCUAAGAGUUAGGAAUUUGAGAUAUAUAUUUCUUUGUACAAGAUUCUUAAAUGCUCCUAGCCAUAGGAAUAUCAUAAGGACGAUGAUAUUUCCGGAUAGGCCGGUGUAUGCUAUACUUCUAAGUUGAGGUGACGAAUCUCAAGUCAUUAGUGUAAGGACACUAAAGUAAGCAUGCAGGUGCUUGUUAGAGAACAAGUACACUGAGCGUGACCAUUUAGUUGAACAGUCACAUGGUUCCGAAUUCGCCAGUGACUAGUUCUUUGCUACAGUUGUGUGAAGUACUCCUUAGACCUGAGGCAUCAUGGUUGCUUCACAUGUAGAUUGCUACUGUUUAACUGUACUAAUACUUAGACUCUAAUGAUUGGUCUAUGUCUGGUACUGAUUGGCUGUAGUAGUUUAUAUGGGGAGGCAUGUGAAUGCGCAAUAAGGAAUUCAACACUCUCAAUAGUGAGAGAGAACGUCCUAUGUAGACUGUCGAACUUGACUCGGAAAAUCCUUGGCCAGGGUACGUGGUGUGUGGAAAGAGUUUCCACCUGUGUUACCAUAUUGAGUCAGUUUUAGAUAUUCUAGUCAUAUGAUCGAAUAAUAAGAUUUGGCGAGUAACCAUAAUUUUUAGUUCGAUCGGGGCGUUGUAUGUUGGAAGGAAUUAAUCACAUAGUAACUGUUAAUGAAAAGGUUCGUUUUUCAUCAUCAUUCUGGAUUACCGUGAUAUACUGCUAGGUGUCACUCACGGACAGUGAGAAGCUGAAAUAAUUUAAAAUAAAUUAUUUCAUAGAUUAGAAGAGUUCUAAUUCAAUAUUAAAGAGUUUAAUAUUGAAUUCCACUGCCGAAUGAUAAUGAACCUAUGCGGUCACACACAAUAGGAAUUGUGUGCAUCCAAUUUGAUAAGAUGAGUCUAAUUGAUACACUAAAUAGUUUAGUGAAAAUUGUGAGAAUUAUAAUUUGAUUUAAUCUCUAAUUAGAUUAGAGAAUAAUUAAUUAUUCAUAGAUUAUUAUGAGAUAAUAUUCUAAAUAGAUUAUAAUAUGAAUAUUUAAUGGAUAAGAUCCAAUUAAAUUAAAGAGAGAGAGACAAAGAUAAUAUAUCCAUAAAGAUAAGUAUAAAUUUGUUUUACUUAUCUAUGGGAACUAAUUGGAUAUGAUCCAAAUUAGUUAUACCAGAAUGCAUGCAACAAUUUAUGCAACUAAUUGGAUGUGAUCAAAAUUAGUUGCAACAGAAUUUUGAGGAUGCCGAUGGUACGGCUAGGCGUGGCUUAAUCAAUUAUUAAUGCACGGCUACGUGAAUAUAAUAUAUCAUCCUUUUACGAGAGGAAUUUAAUAAUAGCCUCUUGAGAAAUAUUAGAUAAUCCAUCUCUCUCUAAUUUUUCCAAAAAAAGCAGUACAUCUCACAAAAGGCGAACGUGGAUAUCACGAGACUGCUAGCACCGUCUUUGUAAUCCGCGACUCAUCUAUUCCGUGCGACGGAAAGCAUUGGAUCUGGAUCAAUUCCGUGUGGAUACGCGUAGAGGCCGGGCACGUGUGCGGCUGAUCGGAAUUUCAGUUUCAACCGUACAGUAGAUCAAGAGACCUUAACUGGUCCGAGGUAAUGUAACCUGAACUUUAAAUCUGUUUAGGUUAGUUUUUAUUUUACAUUGCAACAUGAGAAUGAUCCACCGGCACUGGAUUGAUUUGUUUUAUUUUGGUUCAUAUGUGAUAUGGAUUUUUAUUUUUCGAAAAUACAUUUUUAAUUUCCGCUGCGAUUUUUGUGCCGGAUAAAUUCUUACAUUGAUAUUCUUUCCCAUUUAAGAAGUCACCUCCCAAACAGAAACGCUUACAUGGAGACUAGGCUCAACUACAUAUUCAGCCCAUAAGUUUUGGCAAUGUAUGGGCUUGGCCAUUUGGACCUCCUACUAUUAUCUGAUAAUCAUCUCAAAGUUCAACAUUAUGUACUAUGGACUACAUUGUCGCUUCACCUUGAAUUGGGAAUAAAAUGUAAUGUUUUGGACACCUCAUAUAACACCUAGAAUUGGGUCUGAAAACGAAUAAAAAUUUUGCGACAUAUCAUCAACACAUACUGACUGUAGUUGAGAGGGCCGUUUCUGCUUCUUUCUUUCUUUCUACUUUUCUUUCUAUUAUUAUGUCUGUGGGCGUUACACUUAACAAAACCCUUGCGCAAAAAUCAUAUUUCUUCUUAGAUCCGAACUGAGAUAGCGGAGCGAGCUUCUGCGGUCAACUUUUGGAACCUAAACUGCUUUACAUCCAUAUUCUUUUGCAUUUGGAUACUGAUCUUCAUAGCUAGAGCUUCGAAAAAAAAAAAGAAAUAAAGAAAAAUUUUUGCUCGGUACAAAUUCUCCUCGGUACAAAUUUUUAGAUUUGUUAUGUCAAGAUAUAUACAUUCCUAGCUACUUAACUCAUUCACCGAAAGGUGAAGCAUUCUUAUGCAUUGUGUCAUGACAAUGCAAAUACGAUCCAAAAUUAUCAUGACAAAUACGAUCCAAGAAGACUAGUAAAAUAAGCAACCCAAUAUGAUUUUCAUUUCUGGAUACAUUAGCUAUUUAUUUUGUAAGUUUUCAUUGCCCUCUAAUUCAUUAAUCUUAUGCUCGUGCCGAGGCAAAAAUCGAAUUUGGUAUUCCAUGGCCUGAAAUUUGAAGCUUGAAUUUGGUAUUUUCUAUAAUUACUAGAAACAGAAUCUGUUGAAAAGAUUUUAAUACAAAGUUUUUCUCCCGAAGUAUCUAUUUAAAUACUAGAGCCUGUAAGAGAACUUAACAUACAUGCAUGCUUGUUUUUCCUUUUAUUUUAUUUUAUUAUUUUAUUUUUUUAGCUGUAGUCAUUCCCAAUUAUAAAGCAUUUCUGGAGCUUGUGCUGUAAUGUAAAGCAGCAAAAAGAAUUUGCUGAAAAAUUUUAAUAUAAAGCUUUCCUAAUAGAUUGAGUGAGUUUCUACUUUUGAUACAUUUUAAUAUCGAAGGGGGAAUAAAAUACAAAAAAAUUAUUUGCAUUUUAGCAUGCAUUAUAAUUCCAAUUCUCAACUGAGUACGUUUGUCAACGAGCUGUGAACACGAGGUGACUCGUUAAAAUAUUGAGCUAAAAAAAUUCAAUUCACAAUCGGCUCGUUUAAUAACGAGCCGAACACGAGUUGGCGAACACGAGUUGGCUCAUGAGCAGCAAACUAGAUUGUCAGCUCUAUUAUUGGGUAAAACAUUAAAAGAAAAUUAGAAUCAUAUUCUAAUAUUUAAAAUUUAUAAAAUAUAGAUCUCUUUAUAUUUGGAUUGGCUUAAAAUUCAAAUAGUAGAAACUGUUAAUAUAUAUAUAUGUAUAGAGAGAGAGAGAGAGAGAGAGAGAGAGAGAGAGGCUAUUGUGCUAUUAGAAGCACUACAGUCUUUAUGCUCCUAAAUUCCUAACCAUCCACCAAUUUUGAUGAAUGGUUAAGGUGAGAGAGAAAAGAAAUUGGAAAGAAAUUGGGUUUCUCAAGUUCUCUUCUUUUUAAAUUUCUUUCGAAUUUCUCUUCUCUCUCUCUCUCAUCGUAACCACUCAUCAAAAUUGAUAAAUUGUUAGAAACUUAGGAGCACAUAGGAUACUGUGCUCCUAAUAGCACAGUUAUCCUGUUCUCUAUCUCUCUCUAUAUACUCUCUCUCUAUACAUAUAGAGAGAUAGACAGAGAGUUCAACUACAGUGCUUCCGAAAGUACUCUUCAUGUGGUGCCUUCAAUUUUUUAACUUUUGCAUCAACUCUUUUGACUAUUUCUAAUCCUUUGAUUAAUAAUAUUCACCCAAGGGAGACCACUAAACCCUAAUGGGGGCCACUAUCAUCCCAACCAUAUAUAUAUAUAUAUAGAGAGAGAGAGAGAGAUAGAGAGAGAGAGAGAGAGAGAGAGAAAACAAUUUUUGUACUUUCAAAAACACCGAGGCCUCCGUACUUAUAAUUUAUUUUUGAUGAUAGAACAUCUGAUUCGACGACCAAUUCCCUUAGACAUUAUUUACGCUAUUAGAACUAUUUAGAAUCCAAGACAUCAUUUACCAAAUGAUCAAAUGCUCUAAAAAAUGACUAUUUUAAUGGCCGAUAUAAUACGUUUAUAAGUUUAAUGGUGUAGAACAAACUACCUUAGAUAAAAUUUUAAUAGAAAAUUCUACCUAUCAUCAAAAGCAAGAUUGAUAUUUUCAAUUUGCAAUUUAAGUCUUUUAUCACUUUUUUAUAGAAUUUUUAUUUUCAAUCGCUCAUUUUAAGUCUAUUCGCUCACUAGAUAAAUAAAGUCAAAAAAUUAUGAAAUUUUGUUUCUAGAUAGUAGUAACAUAAUUGAUUAUGUGUAAUGAAACCGAUCGCCAAAUCAGAUGUUCCAUCAUUAAAAAUUAUAAGCACGUAGGCCUUUGUACUUUCAAAAGUGUAGAAGCCUAACACUCUCUCACUUUCUCUGUGUGUGUGUGUGUGUGUGUGUGUGUGUGUGUAUAUAUAUAUAUAUAUAUAUAUAUAUAUAUAUAUAUAUAGACUGGUAUACUAUCGGCAGCACGGAGGCCUCUGUGCUACCAAGUUGUUUUCAAUGAUGUGGCUUCCAAAUCGACGAUCGGCUCUGUUAAGCUUGAUGGACCAAGUUGUUCUCUCUCUCUCUCUCUCUCUCUCUCUCUCUCUCUCUCUCAUCUCUCCUCUCUCUCGUCCUCUCUCUCUAUAUAUAUAUAUAUAAGGGCUGCCGUGCUCUCAGGAGCACGGAGGCCUCCGUACUCCUGAGCCGUUUUCGAUGAUAGAAUUUUCGAAUUGACGAUCGACUCCGUUAGACUUGAUCUAGGGUAUAUGAAGUUUCUAAAAAAUAAUUUUUGCAAUUUUUUGAUAUUAUUUACCUAGUGAUAGAAAGGAUUCAAAAUCAAUAAUUUUUAAUGGUUGAUAUCUGCCGUUUUCAAGUUUAACGGUGUAGAAGUAUUAAAAUCAGAUGAAAUUUUGAUACAAAAUUCUUUAUACUAUCUACAACAAGAUCAAUAUUUCUGAUCGAAAAUUUGAAUGCUAUAUCACCACUUUUAUAGGAUUUUUAUUUUCAGCCGUUAAAAAUUAUUGAUUUUGAAUCCUUUCGAUUGCUAGGUAAAUGAUAUCAAAAAAUCGCAAAAAAUAUUUUCUAGAAACUUCAAAUACGUUAGAUCAAGUCUGACGGAGCCGAUCGUCGAUUCGAAAAUUUCAUCAUCGAAAACGGCUUAGGAGCACGGAGGUCUCCGUGCUCCUGAGAGCACAGCAGCCCUACUCUAUAUAUAUAUAUCAAAUUUGUUUUUCAAUACUAGGUUUCGUCAUUUUUCUCACCCUCUUUUCUUUAUCUAUGGUAAUGGCGAGACCUAUGGUAGCAACAACGUCGAAGGCAAGGCUUUCGGUCGUGGCAAAAAUGAGGUACGCCACACCUGCCGCGGCACAGAGAGAGAGAGAGAGAGAGAGAGAGAUUUUUUCAAGGACAAAUUUAUAACAAAAUAGUCAUUUUAAGCAACUAGCAUUAAAAAACUAACGGUGAAUCAAAUGACAUCAGAACUUUUAGAGGGAUAUAUUUAUGAAAAAUUUAAUUUAUAACAAAAUAGUCAUUUUAAGCAACUAGCAUUAAAAAACUAACGGUGAAUCAAAUGACAUCAGAACUUUUAGAGGGAUAUAUUUAUGAAAAAUUUAAUUUAUAACAAAAUAGUCAUUUUAAGCAACUAGCAUUAAAAAACUAACGGUGAAUCAAAUGACAUCAGAACUUUUAGAGGGAUAUAUUUAUGAAAAAUUUUUGAAGGGGUAAAAUUGAUCAAUUAUUUGAUACCUUAAUAGCAAUCUGUACCAAAUUAGCUCUUUGCUUUUUAUCUGGUCGUUUUGGAAACACGUAGACAGCAAGUUAGGAGAUAUGGGUUGACUUGUUCAAAUCCUCCAGAAAAUGUUCUCUUAAGUCCCUAUCUUAUCUCUUUAUCUCAAUUGUGAGUUUGUGACAGUGCCAUUGCUUAUGCACGCGUGUGCAUGAGAGAGAGAGAGAGAGAGAGAGAGAGAGAGAGAGACAUUUGGUGCAAGUAAUCAACUUGAUAUUUGGAUUGAAUGGUUCGUGAAAGGCCACUGCUUAGUUACAUAUAUAUAUAUCUAUAUAUAUAUAUAUAGAGAGAGAGAGAGAGAGAGUNAACAGAAUCUGUUGAAAAGAUUUUAAUGCAAAGUUUUUCUCCCGAAGUAUCUAUUUAAAUACUAGAGCCUGUAAGAGAACUUAACAUACAUGCAUGCUUGUUUUUCCUUUUAUUUUAUUUUAUUAUUUUAUUUUUUUAGCUGUAGUCAUUCCCAAUUAUAAAGCAUUUCUGGAGCUUGUGCUGUAAUGUAAAGCAGCAAAAAGAAUUUGCUGAAAAAUUUUAAUAUAAAGCUUUCCUAAUAGAUUGAGUGAGUUUCUACUUUUGAUACAUUUUAAUAUCGAAGGGGGAAUAAAAUACAAAAAAAUUAUUUGCAUUUUAGCAUGCAUUAUAAUUCCAAUUCUCAACUGAGUACGUUUGUCAACGAGCUGUGAACACGAGGUGACUCGUUAAAAUAUUGAGCUAAAAAAAUUCAAUUCACAAUCGGCUCGUUUAAUAACGAGCCGAACACGAGUUGGCGAACACGAGUUGGCUCAUGAGCAGCAAACUAGAUUGUCAGCUCUAUUAUUGGGUAAAACAUUAAAAGAAAAUUAGAAUCAUAUUCUAAUAUUUAAAAUUUAUAAAAUAUAGAUCUCUUUAUAUUUGGAUUGGCUUAAAAUUCAAAUAGUAGAAACUGUUAAUAUAUAUAUAUGUAUAGAGAGAGAGAGAGAGAGAGAGAGAGGCUAUUGUGCUAUUAGAAGCACUACAGUCUUUAUGCUCCUAAAUUCCUAACCAUCCACCAAUUUUGAUGAAUGGUUAAGGUGAGAGAGAAAAGAAAUUGGAAAGAAAUUGGGUUUCUCAAGUUCUCUUCUUUUUAAAUUUCUUUCGAAUUUCUCUUCUCUCUCUCUCUCAUCGUAACCACUCAUCAAAAUUGAUAAAUUGUUAGAAACUUAGGAGCACAUAGGAUACUGUGCUCCUAAUAGCACAGUUAUCCUGUUCUCUAUCUCUCUCUAUAUACUCUCUCUCUAUACAUAUAGAGAGAUAGACAGAGAGUUCAACUACAGUGCUUCCGAAAGUACUCUUCAUGUGGUGCCUUCAAUUUUUUAACUUUUGCAUCAACUCUUUUGACUAUUUCUAAUCCUUUGAUUAAUAAUAUUCACCCAAGGGAGACCACUAAACCCUAAUGGGGGCCACUAUCAUCCCAACCAUAUAUAUAUAUAUAUAUUGAAUUCGGCUACUAUACUUUUAUAAGUAUAGACCGCUUUGUACUCAUAAGUUUUCGGCUACUAUACUUUUUAACUCAUAAUUAUCUAAAUUUUGGUGACAGAAAUAGGAGGGUGGAAACGAGUAAGCUCGCUCAAUCUUUGCUUGAAAUUAAUUUCGAAUCUAAAUUUAGGCUCAAGCUCAACUUAAAAUUAAUUCGAGCCGAGCUCCAGCGAGCCUAAACUUCGAAUCGAGCGAGCUCAAGUACUAAACAAGCUGCUGAAAUUCUUAACAUCGUGCAAUUUAUAGUUCAAUGUUUAUAAAAUAUUAUCUAAAAUUUAAUACAAAAAAUAUUUAAUAGUUCAACAUACAAAAGAAAUACGGUAUUAUAAUAAAAAAAAUUAGAGGAACCGACUUUUCGAGCAAAUGAAAGAGCAAAAGAGUAAUUAAAGUAGGAUUUUACUGGUUUGAUUUUGUGGGUCAGCAAAUAGUCUAAUUCAAACGAGCCCAGUAUGACUCACAUUCGACUUGAGAUAAAUUUUGAGUUUUUAUUCUGUUCAAGCUCGGGCUCAUUUAAUUUUAAAUCGAGCUCGAGCGAUCCGAAUACUGAGUUGAACGCGAGCCGAACACGAACCAACUCACUCAUUUGCCAGCCCUAAGCAGAAAGAUAUAUAUAUUAACAGACUUGAGGACUUUUGGAGGGAUAAAUUUGAUAAUUGAAGUUUUAUAAGAAUAUAUAUUUACUAUGUGAUAGUCUUGAAGGAAACCAUAUGCAAUUAUUCCAAAAAGAUGAAAAAAAAAUCAUAUUAUUCAAAAUUAAAUAAAUAAAAUGGCAUGAGAAGCGUGAGUAAGCUCAAGAGAAAAAUACCUCAAAGUUUCACGCACUCAAUCCGCUUUGUCACAGAUUCGAAAUCUGACCGGACAACUGCUCCAAUCCAACUCUUGAGUCCAAGAAUUGUAAUCUUCUCUUCCAAAGUUUUAAAUUUUAGCGUUAAAAAUAAAAAUAAAAAUUUAGCAUUUCUCUUUCUUAUAAGAAAAAUUAACAGUUUUAUCCUUCCAAAUAUUGAUAAUUGCAAGUAUAUAUAUAUAUAUAUAUAUAUAUAUAUAUAGUUGAGCCGGAAUGCUAUCGAUAGCAAACAGACUUCGUUGCCACCCAUUUGUUUUCAAUGAUGGAGCCUUCAAAUCGACGAUCGGCACCGUUGAACAUGAUCUGUACUACUUGAAGUAUCUAGAAAUUAAAUUUCAUACUUUUUCGAUAUUAUUCUCUUGUUCAUCAAGUGCGUGUAAAAAUGAACGGCCGAAAAUGAAUAUUCUCUAAAAAAGUGAUGAUAGGGAUUUUGUAAUCAAGAUCGAGAGUAUAGAUCUUGUUCUAAAUAGUUUAAAGAAUUUUCUAACAAAAAUUCAAUUGAUUUGGAUAGCUUUACACCGUUAAACAAGAAAACGCCUCAUAUCGACCAUUAAAAUUACAAAUUUUGAAACCCUUUGAUCAUUAGGUCAAUGAUGUCGAAAAGAUUUGAAAUUUGAUUUCUAGAUAGUUCAAGUGAUACAGAUCAUGUUCAACGGUGCCGAUUGUCGAUUUGAGGGCUCCAUCAUCGAAAACAAAUGGGUGGCAACAAAGCCCAUUUGCUACCGAUAGCAUUCCAACUCAACUCUAUAUAUAUAUAUAGAAAGAGUAGAGCUAUUAUACAAUCGGAAGGUAGUUAAAGCGUAGAGCUAUUUAGCAUAAGGUAGUUAUAUAUAUAGAAAGAGUAGAGGUAUUUAGCAUAAGAUAGUUAGUACUUCCGAUUUUUUAGCUCUUGGAUCAACUCUCUUUACCAUUUUAACAAUUGAAUUAAUAUUAUUACCCAAUGGGGACCACUCAACCCUAGGGAAACCACUCAACUCUAAAGGGAACACUAUCAUCCUAACCAUACAAUCUUUAAUCUAAGGGUUAAAAAAUCGAAAGCACAAACUCUCUUAUGCUUCCGAUAGCAUAGUAGCUCUACACUAUAUAUAUAUAUAUAUAUAUAACUAGGCUGGUAUACUAUCAAUAGCACAAAGCUAUUGGUGCUAUUAAUUUUUUAGCCCUUGGAUUGAUAAAUGGGUGGUUAGGAUGAUGUGGGCCCCCUAGGGUUGAGUGAGUGGUUGGUUGAAUAGUAUAAUCUAACAGGUAAAAAUAAUCAAAGGGUUAAAUCUAACGGUGGAAAACUCGAUAGCACCAAAUCCUUGGUGCUAUCGAUAGUACCCCAGCCGGACUAUAUAUAUAUAUAUAUAUAUAUAUAUAUAUAUAUAAAGAGAGAGCGAGAGAGAGAGAGAGAGUGUACAGUUACUAUAUUCUUAUGAGUAUAGAGCCCUUCGUACACAUAAAUUAUUUUUAAUAGUAGAGUUUUCGAAUCGACGAUCCACUUCGUUAAAUAUAAUUUAGAGUAUUUGAAACUUCUAAAAAAUAAAUUUCAUAAUUUUUCGAAAUUAUAAUAAAGCCCAUCAAAUUGGUACAAAAUGAAUAGUCAAAAUCGAACGACAUUCUAAAAAUGGAAGAUCGGAUUCUUCAAUUUAAGAUCGGAGUUAUUGAUCUUUAUCUAGAUAGUGGAUAGAAUUUUCUAUCAAAAUUUCAACCAAUUUCGAUUCUUUUACACUAGUCGUUAAACUAGCAAGUAUUUCAUACUGCCCGUUAAAAAUUGUCAAUUUUGAGAUCUUUUGAUCGUUAAAUAAAUGAUAUAAAAAAAUCAUGAAAUUUGAUUUCUAAAAGUUUUAAAUGCUCUAAAUAACAUUUAACAAUAUAGAUCGUCGAUUCAGAAACUCUAUCAUCGAAUAUGAUUUAUGAGUAUAAAUGCGAUUGUACUCAUAAGAGUUGUCACGCCCCGGAUUAACACGUUUUUCCGGGCACGCCAACAGACCCGCCUUAUAUAUCGAAAUUUUUCGUGUAUACGAAGUAAUAGCUGCAUCUGUAAUCACAACAGCACCACAACCAGUAGUAUAGAGCUGCUAAAUUGAAAAUAAACAUAUAAAUGAAAACCUCGAGUGGUUCUUGUACAUACAAAAGGUCUACAACACAACUCGCUCUAGCGAGUGCCCUGACAAUAUCACAAUAUGUACAAAGAAAAUCCAAAACUACCAGUGAAAGGUACUUAAUUCUCUAGUACGGUAACGAGACGGGUAGGGAUCUAGCUCGCAACUUCCUUCCCACGGUCUGAAUCAGCGACAGCAGCAGCCACAGAAGAAGGCUCUGCAAAAAAGGGGUCAACAACUAGGUGUGAGAACUAUUGCGAAAAGUAGUCCUCAGUAGGUACCGUCACCUACCUCAACUGCUCACUUACUAAAGUUUAUAGAAAAGUGUGCAAGAGAUAGUAAGGAAAGCUGGAAAAACUCUAUAGAUAUAUGUCACUAUACUAUCGGUAACCAACAUUAACUAUCUGUAAAUAAAAAAAAUACGAUCUUUGAUCUAGUCUCACUAGAGAAUAUGAAAACGCCCGUCCAGCCUGUCGAAGCUACACCGAACACCACCCCCGAGGGCUGCCGGUGGAGAGCAAGUCCAAACCAGACAACAACGACAUCAACGCAAAGCAAAAAGCCAAACUUCGGAGCGGCACUCGUGGGCGCGACCCAACCGAGUAUGCAAGCGUGUCUCUACCGAGCUCAAUCAGGCUCUCACAGGCUGUAAUCAAUGCAAAUGGGUCUAACUGGUCUAACCACCAAAGCUCACGUGCCCGUGGCACAAUCUGAUGCAAAAUACAGAAACCUGGGUCCACUGUCAACCGCGACGGCACCCGACAGUCCGAAACAGUAUACACACUACUGUAAAAUAAGCUCGGCGUCCCAGCACGAGCGUAAACUCACCAUACACUAAUCUGGGUAUCCACCGCGUACUAACAGCGGCGAUACAAAAGAACCAUAACUCCUAAAACUAAAUCUUGUAACUUUUCAGAAAAUGACAGUGUAAGAUUAAAUAGUUUUCUCCUAAGUCAAUUUUAAGUCCAACAUGAAUAUAAAUACUAGCUUAACUCCAAAUUCAGAUUUUAUAGUCUAAUCUAUGAAUUCGAGUACUAGCAAGGAAAAUAAACCAAUGAAACCUGUCGACGAUGCUAGAACUUAGGAGGAAUUCCAACGAUUUCGGUAAACAUUAAUCCAUCUCGACAUGCUAGUCCAACUACGAUAGGAAGUCGAAAGGAGAUGAACCACGUGCUCGCCCGGCCUCCCAAUGAUGCAACUACGAUGCCCGCGAGCUCGAAUGGCUCCCCGUCGCAACGUCGAAGUCUACCCGAGCUCGAGCCACGACCCCACCACAAGCAACAUCUCCAAACUAGAGAGAAAAAGGAAGCAGCAACCAAAAGCUCAUUCUCUGUCUCUCUACGCAUAUAUAAAGAGGUAGGAUAAGGUUGAGAUUAACGUCACUUCAAAUGAUGAAAAGGCCCCUCACCAACUUACAAAUACAGCUUGAGUACCGGUACCCAAUUUGGUUACUGGUAUUCGGCCUCUCAGCCCGCAAGCUCGCUCAUAGGGUACCGAUACUAGCCCGAUGCCGUACCGGUACUCAGCAUUAGAUUGGCGCAACCCGAGAGCAUCAGUUAUGCAAUUCCACUGGGGUGCCGGUACUUCUCUACUUGGUACCAGUACUCAACAUUGAAAACUUGCACUUUGCAGAUUCCAAUGUCAAAACUUUACUCUCGCGUCGCAUUGAGUCCGUUUUGCAUCCAUUUCGCGCCAAAACGACUCCGACUUGUCCCGACACUCUCCAGAUGUGUCAACAAGUCUCAGAUGCUGAAACCUACGAGCUGCAGAACACUAGGGACACUACAAAAGUAGUAGCCGGAUUAUAUAUAUAUAUAUAUAUAUAUAUAUAUAUAUAUAUAUAUAUAAUAACUAGAUGUUUUCUUGCCUAAGAUUUGAUGACAAAAAGGCAAAAUUUGGGUUUUAACAACCUAAAAUAAAUAAUCAGGUAAUUAUGAGUAUUCAAACCAGUAUAAUCAAUCACAUUUUCAUGCACUAACUACUUUGGCUUUGAGCAAAAAAAUGAAAAAAAUGUCAUGUGCUCUUUUGUGAUAGUACUUUUCAAAAUUACUUAGAACUUUGAUCUUUGAUCAAUCAUAACAUGCAAUUAUAUCGUUCUCCUUUUGAAAAGAUUUGGGUUUAGCACCAAUUUUAGCAAAUUAGAAGCUUGAUACGAUUCUAUCGUAUCAGUAGGGAUAAUUAGAAGCUUGAUACGAUUCUAUCGUAUCAGUAGGGAUAAACGAUCAUUUCGAGAGGAUCUAACCUCCUAAAAAGAGAGAUAUUAGAGAGAUAGAGAUAGAUAAGAAGGGAAUGAGAGGGAAGAUAGAACAAGACGAUCAAUUUCUUCUUAUUAUUCCAAACCCUAGAAGAUACACAUUUAUAUAACCCUAAUUACACUUUUAUUGGAAAUGACUGAAAUAUUCUAAAAUAACAAUAUAUUAUUUCAUAAUUAGAAAAUCCUAAUAUAGAAAUGUAUCAUUCCACCGCCCUCGAAAGCNCAUUUCGCGCCAAAACGACUCCGACUUGUCCCGACACUCUCCAGAUGUGUCGACAAGCCUCAGAUGUUGAAACCUACGAGCUGCAGAACACUAGGGACACUACAAGAGUAGUAGCCAGAUUAUAUAUAUAUAUAUAUUAAAAUUAAAAUUAAAAGGCCAAUUUGAAUAAAAAAAAUCCACUAGUUUUGCGCAUUUGCAAAAGUGGGUCACCUUUUUCGAUUUUGCAGAUUCGGGCCGGAUUUUCAACAAACUGACCAAAAUACUCUUUACCUUUUUCUCUCUCCUCUUUUUUUCUCUCGUUUUUUUUUCUUUCUCUUCCCAAAGAGCGGCGGAGGCAGAAGCAGAGGCGGAGGCGGCCCGCUUCGGUUUUAUCCGGCGCAUCCUUUCCCUCGCACACGCACCCCACCAACUUCCUUGCCUCCGACCCUACCGAGGCCGCGCUGCGACUUUUUCUUUUUCCCUCUCCGACUCACCUCCACCGCCUCCAACGACGAUGCCUAUUUCACCAUCUCUCGCCCUUCUCACCCUUUUUUCUCCCUCCUCCUUCGCCUCCUCCGCCGCCUCCGACGACUUUUCUCUCAAAUAGUAUAAGUUUUGUUUAAAACAGUGCAACGUUUCUCUGAAAUAGUGUAACUUCAUCAUCUUCUUUUUUUUUAUCUGAUUUUUUAUUUUUCUUGUAAUUUUUUUUCACCCUCUCCGACCCUCAUCAUCUCCUCUGCCGCCUCGAGGCCCUCGGCAAUAGUAACGAGGGCGGCGCCACAUGCUCUUCCUCCAUCUACUCCUCCGCCGGCGCCGGAGGCCCUUGGCGACAGUAACGAGGGCGGUGCUGCCUCCUCCGCCAGCGUCGGAGAAAAAGAAGAACUCAAAACAGCCCGGGAUGAGGGACAGAGGCAAUGAGGUCGUUGUCGAGCAGGUACUCGUCACCCGUGAGGGUGAGGAAAAAAAAAAAAAGGGCCCAUCUCCAAGAAACGAACAAAGAUGCAAAUAGUAGAGAAAAAUUAAGAAUAAAAAGUAAAAAAAAAUAUUUUUUUUAAGAAAACAAUUAUAUAUUAUUUUUUGAUAGCAAUAAUGAUAUAUAAUGGUCCUUCUCAUCCGAAUCCGCUUUCAGUUCUCUUUCUCCUUCUUCGGCGUCGGCGGAGGAAGCGGCACCGCCAUCGUUACCGUCGUCGAGGGCCGCCGGCGCCGGCGGAAGAGAAGAUGGAGGAAGAGGUUGUGACACCACCUUCGUUACUGUUGCCGAGGGUCCUGAGGCGGUGGAGGAGACGAUGAGGGUCGGAGAGGGUGAAAAGAAGUUACAAGAAAAAUAAAAAGUCAGAUAGAAAAGAAGAUGAUGAUGAAAUUACACUAUUUUAGAAGAACGUUGCACUUUUUGGACGAAAAUUAUACUAUUUCUCUUCUUCAUCCUCCUCCUCCUUUCUUGUUUUCGUAUGGAUGAUGAGAAAUAGUGUAAUUUUCACCCAAAAAAUACAAAUUUCAUUCAAAUUAAGAAUGCAACUUUUAUUUAGAAAAAUAUUUUUGUUUAAAACAGUGCAAUGUCCCUCUAAAAUAAUGCAUCUUCAUCUUAUUCUUAUUUUCUUUCUGAUUCUUUAUUUUUAUUGUAGAAAAAAGUAUUUCUUAUAUUUUAUUCUUUAUUCUUUUCAUUUUAUUAUUUUCUAUAUUUGUUUUCUUGGUCCUCUUUCUUUGCCGUCGGUGUCGGUGCAUGCGCCGGCGAAGGCAGAGUAAGAGGACGCGGCGCUAUUUUUAUUACUGUCAUGGAAGAUCGCAGGGGUGGUUGAGGGGGAUCAAAUAGAAAAAAAAAAAAAGAAUGAGCGAAAAAAAUGAAAGGAAGAGAAUGCGGCAUUACGCUCUUUACUGUCGUAAAGAGCCAAGGAAUUAAGCGAUGGAGGAGGGUCGUAGAGGAAAAAAAAAAAAAAAAGAGGGUCGUGGCACGGCCUCGGCGGGAUUAGAGACAAGGAAGGCAGAGGGUACGCGGACGAGGGUGAGAGUGAUCCGGACAGAGGCGAGACAGGCGGUCUCCACCCCCGCCGCCCUCUUGGGAGAGAAAGGAAAAAAAAGAACGAGAGAAAAAAAAGACGGGAGAAAGGGAAUAAAGAUAUUUUGGUCUUUUUUGAAAAUCAGGCUCGAAUGCAAAAUCUAAAAAUACGGCCUACUUUUACAAAAGCUCAAAACUAGUAAAUUUUUUAUGCAAAUUGGCCCUAAUUAAUUAUUUGAUAUUCAUCAGAAAUAUUCAUAUAUAUAAAAGUCGUUGGAAAAUGCAUUAAAACCCCGUUAACUACAGACUAUUAUGAAAGAAGCCUCGCGAAUUUAAAGUCUUUGGUUAACACCUUGAUUUUUUAUAUUUUUGGAAUUGACUAAUUUUUUUCAAUUAAAUUAGAGAUUUUAUCCAACUCAUCAGCAAUUUCAUCAAAUUUGGUAAUUUUAAUUACUUUUUAGCAAAUAAAUUAAAAUAUUUAAUGAUCAAUAGCUGAAAAGGAAUUUGCAUUUAAUAUAAGUCUUAGUCCCUCUGUUAUCAUGAUCCCUACAAUUAGGGCCGGCAAAUGAGCGAGCCGGCUCGCGUUCGACUCGAGACUUGAUAUUUGGCUCACUCGAGCUCGACUCGAAAUUAAAUAAGCCGAACUUGAUCAAAAAAAAAAGGGCUCAAAAUUCAUUUCAAGCCGAGCUUGAGUAUUACUCGGCUUGUUCGAAUUAGGCUCGAAAACCGAGAAUAUAUAUAUAUAUAUAUAGAGAGAGAGAGAGAGAGAGAGCUACUAUGCUAUCGUAAGUAUAGAGAAUCUGGUGCUUCCGAUUUUUUGAUUCUUACAUCAAUCACUUUAAUCAUUUCUUACCUUUAGAUUAAUACUAUUAUUACCAUGUAGGGACCACUCAAUCCUAAGGGUAUUAUUUAAUCCUAGGGAGGACCGCAAUCAUCUCAAUCGUAUAAUUCUUAAUCAAAGGGUCAAAAAUUCGGAAGUAUCAAAUUCUCUAUAUUUUCGAUAGCAUAGUAGUUCUACACUAUAUAUAUAUAUAUAUAUAUAUAUAUAUAUAUAUAUAUAUAUAGAGAGAGAGAGAGAGAGAGAGCUACUAUGCUAUCGUAAGUAUAGAGAAUCUGGUGCUUCCGAUUUUUUGAUUCUUACAUCAAUCACUUUAAUCAUUUCUUACCUUUAGAUUAAUACUAUUAUUACCAUGUAGGGACCACUCAAUCCUAAGGGUAUUAUUUAAUCCUAGGGAGGACCGCAAUCAUCUCAAUCGUAUAAUUCUUAAUCAAAGGGUCAAAAAUUCGGAAGUAUCAAAUUCUCUAUAUUUUCGAUAGCAUAGUAGUUCUACACUAUAUAUAUAUAUAUAUAUAUAUAUAUAUAUAUAUAUAUAUAUAGAGAGAGAGAGAGAGAGAGAGNAAGGCGGAAAAGAAGACAUGUGAGGCUGAAAAGAUUAGAUAUUCAACUCAUAAAUUAUUUUUCUUCAUAUUAUAAUACCAUAUUUCAUAUAAUUAUUUUGUACUUUGAACUAUUAGACAUAUUUUUGUAUCAAAUUAUAGAUAAUGUUCUAUACAAAUUAAACUAUUGAUUGUAUGAUGUUGAGGAUUUCAAGGGGCUCGUUUAAGGCUCGAGCUUGCUCGACUCGAAAUUAGGCUUGCUCGAGCUCGGCUCGAAUUAAUUUCAAACCAAGCUUGAGCUUAAAUUUAGGCUCGAAAUUAAUUUCAAGCCGAAUUUGAGCCGAGGUAAACUCGCUUGAGCUCGGCUCGUUUCCACCCCUACCUACAAUUAAUGGAGUUUAAAUAUUUUAGUUUACACUGAGAACAAUUUAGGGUUAAUUGUAUGUGUGUCCAUACAAAGCAAUAAAAUUGCAUUUUUACCUCUACAAAAUUUUAUAUUAUCUCUAUAAAGUUGUAGUUAGCAAAUAUAUAUUCCACUAAAGUUUCAUAGUUUGCAAAUAUGUCCUUCUCCGUUAGUUAACCGGUUAGCAAAAUUACCAUUUUAUCUAUAAAUAAAUAAAUAAAUAAAUAAAUAUAUAUAUAUAUAUAUAUAUAUAUAUAUAUAUUAUAUUUAAUAGUAUUUAUAAUUUUUAAUAUUUUUAUUCUAACUUACAUUCCAUUCUAUGUGUACCUUAUAUUAUAAAUUUCAAUAACAAUUUUUUAAAAAAUCGCAGUCCGGUGAAAAUUUAACGUCAACUAAUAAUAGUCAACCUGUCGGAAUAAACUUUUAUAUUUUGGAGAUUUCGAGAAAUAUAUUUAAUAAUUAAACUUUUAUAAGGAUGCAAUAAAAUUUUGGAGGAACAAAAAUAUGCAAUUUCAUAGCUUUGUAGGGACACGUAUGCAAUUAUUCCAACAAUUUAAGUUUUAAUAUGCACGGAUAGUAACUUUAUUGCCCCUACGGCAACUUAUUUCCUAUACAUUUUCAAUUUAGGUACGUUAGGCUUAAAAAUUUUAAAUAUAUUACACUUUAACCCUUGAUCAUUAAUAAUAAAAUUUAAUCAUGUUUAAUAUUAUGUUUGACUAUGAUAGUAAUAAUAAUAUUUAAUUAUGUUUUGAAGUACACUUAAAAUAAGGGGAAUCACUUAAAAUAGAAGGACAAAGUGUUUAUUUUGUAAAAAAACUUUUAGCCAUUUUUGAGUAAAAAAUUUUGUAAGAAACUUUUAGCCAUUUUUAAGUAAAAAUUUUGUAAAAAUUCUCGUAAAUUUUUUUUAUUUUUCUCUCAUAAAGUAAGCUUAUUUUCAUAAUUGAAAUACUUUUUCCUUUUGUAGUUGUAUGUUUCUUUAUAAUUAGACCUUCUCGAGUAUUUACUAUCAAAUCUUUUACCAUUUACGUUAGAAACAAUCGGUGAUUAUAGAUAACUGUUUGCAGAAGAAAUGUAUCCUUUAGGUUGGAAAUUAAACAUCUUUGUUUGGCAGUUAACUGCCAUUUUCAAUGAAAGAAAACUGACAAUUAAGUUGAUAAAUAUCAACAUUUACUUUUCUAUGGGUUAUAUAUAUAUAUAGGGGGCCUACAUCAUUCUAACCGCACACCUUUUAAUCCAAGAAUGGAAAACUUAAUAGCACCAAGUCAUUGGUGCUAUUAAUAGUAUUCUAGCCUAGUUUUAUAUAUAUAUAUAGAGAGAGAGAGAGAGUUGGACUGGGCUACUAUUAGUAGCAAAAUCUCAUUGUUGCUACCAGUUUUUUAGCCUUUGGAUCAACUCUUUUCAUUAUUUCUAACCAUUGGAUUAAAUACUAUAACCCAGUGGGGACCACUCAACUCUAUGGGGACCACUCAACUCUAACCGACUAAUAUCAUCCUGACCUUAUAAUUUUUCAUCCAAAGAUUAAAAACUUGAUAACAAAAAGAACGUUUUACUAUUAAUAGUAUUCCAGCCUAAUUCUAUAUAUAUAUAUAUAUAGAUAUCCUUCUUUUGGGAUGAAUAAGUAAUAAAAUCAAGUUCAUGGGUUGUUUCCUCAUGUUUCUAGUGGGGCCAUAUAUAUGUACAUAUUAUACAUGGAUAAGCAAAAACCAAUAGGUAACCUACACUCAUGAACAUCAUGUGAAACAUCAAGGAAUUUAGAUGAGAAACUUCUUGAUCAAGUAGUGUUUGUCCAAAAGCAUAUAUAGCUCAUCACCAUCAAAGAGAAAAAAAAAAAAAAGGAGAAUAGUCCUUUACAAGGAGAAAGAGAAAAUUGACUCUAUAAAGAAGUGAGAUGCACAACAAAAAGAUGACAUAUAUACUAUUCUAAAGUUUGAGAGCAACUAACAUCGUCGACCCACACACAAUAGAUGCUUACUUGGAUGCUUAUACUUUAAGCUUCGGCUUAUUCUGAUGUCUAGCUAUUUGUUCCCCAAUAAUAUAAUGCGAGUUUGUCUCAGAACAUUUAUAUAUAGAGAGAGAGAGUCAGGUUAUUAUAUUCUUACGUAUUUGAAUUUUUUAUACUUAUAAGCUUUCGCUGUUAGAUCUAUCCAUUUAAUCAUUUUUAUUAGAUUAUACAAUUCAACGAACCACCCCCUCAACUCUAGAGGAUCACUAUCAUUCUGAUCGGAGACCACUAUCAUCCUAGCCGCACUCUUCAUCCAACGAUCGAAAAUUUAUGAAUACAAAGGUUUCUAUACUCAUAAAAAGUAAUAGUAGCGCUACUAUAUAUGAGUAGGCCCCUUCAUACUAAUAAGUUUUUUUUUUUAUAAUGGAACUUCUGAAUUGAUGAUCAAUACCGUUAAAUAUGAUCCAGAGUAUUUGAAAUUUAUAAAAAAUAAAUUUCAUAAUUUUUGAAAUUAUGUUAAAUUUUAUCAAGCGGGUAUAAAAUGAACGGUCGAAAUUGAACAACCUCUUAAAAAUAUAUGAUCGGAUUCUUUAAUUUAAGAUCGGAGCUAUUGAUCUUUAUUUAGAUAGUGAAUAAAAUUUUCUAUUAAAAAUUCAACCGAUUUGAUUCUUUUAUACGUUAAACUAGCAAGCAUCUCAUACCAGCCGCGCGUUAAAAAUUAUCAAUUUUAAGAUCUUUUAAUCUUAAGGUAAAUGAUGUCGAAAAGUUAUAAAAUUUGAUUCCUAAAAGUUUUAAAUGCUUUAAAUUAUAUUUAAAGGUAUGAAUUAUCGAUUCGGAAUCUUUAUUAUCGAAAACGACUUAUAAAUAUUGUCAUGCUCAUAAAAGUAUAGAAGCCGAACUUUAUAUAUAUGGCACUCAAAGAUACGUGUUGUUUACUAAUAGUGAGUAAGUCCUUAUAAUGAAAAGAAACAAAUACAAGUUCAACAUGUUGAAACUCAAUAUAGUAUUGGUGUUGAACAUGUCCAUCUAUGUACAUAUAAGUGUUGCGUGUUCUAUACUUCUAUUGCGAUACAUGAUGAAAGUUAAAGGCAAAGUAAGAUUAAUCGUGCAUGUCAUUUUCAUCAUGUUAAAGCUUCAGGAAAAUGUUUUAUAAUGAAAGAGGACGAAGAGGAGUGUUGGAGAAGUAAUUGUGGGGGUUUGAACUAAAUGGGUUUGGUCCACCACCUCCCUACUACAAUUUCCUAUUCCUUUAUGGAGAUUUGGCACGAAAUUAAGGGGAAAUUAGAUAUAAUAAUGCUAUUGCAAAGUGGAAGUAGAGAUUAAGAUUAAGCUACUUUUGUAUUAAGUAAGCUCAGCUAUUUAUGUUGUUGCGUGUAGAAUUUUCUUUCACCAAAAAAACAUGAUGUUAAAUAAUUAAAGUGACAUGCUUAAUUAUAUAUUUCGACUUUUCUAUUGCUAUGCAUUGAUUGUCUACAUGGUACUUGAUUAGUUGCUUACCCUUUAGAAUAGUUUUUCUUUUUCUUUUUUUUCUUUUUUUGAAAAAAAAUGAUAGCAUGCUUUUCCUUACAGAAUUUGUUAAUUAUUUUUUUUAGAAAUAAAAUAAGUUUGAAUUGUAAAGCAAUUAAUUAACUAAGUUUCAAACUUAAAAUCUCGUUUAUCAAUUAUAAAGUUCUUCGCCACCUGCGCUAGGGAUCGAUGGUCAGUACGUAAUAGCUUUUUUGUUAUAAAAAUUAAAACCGUGUGUACUCGACAAUAGAAACUCUUGUUAAAACUAUUUAACUAUUGUAGAAAUUACAGGGAGAAUUUUAAUUAGAAUAUAAUUUUACUAUUUUAAAUAUUUCUACUUAAACAAUCGUUUUAUAUAUAAAGAAAAAUUCAACUUUACAAAACAGGCUCUAAAUUAUUUGUUCAUCUCAAAUUAUUGAAUAAUUCAAUAUGCAUCCCCCUUUCUUUUUUUUUUUGUUCUCUUUUCCUUUCUGAAAAAAUUAGUAACUCAGUAAGGAUAAUAUAAUUCCUAAAGCAUACACAUAAGUAUUGAAUAUAAAAAUAUAAAAAUAUAAUUUUUGAUAAUAUAAACAGUUUUGGAUUUACUCGUUGCUAAAAAGAUAUGGUAUCAAAUAUAUAUAAAAAUAAAAGCCCGACAGAUUUAGGUUCCGACAUGAAUUUUAUGUGUACCUGAUUCGAACCUGAAUCCUAUUCAAACCCAAAUAAAUUUUAUAUUAUAUUAUAUGACAUAUAUAUAUAUAUAUAUAUAUAAUAUUAUAUCUAAAUUUAUAUUUUAAAAUUUAAUUUUUAUUAUAAUAUAUUUUAAAUUCGGUUUGGAUUUAGGUUUUAGAAUCGUGGUCAGAUUCAGGAUUUUUAAAAUCCGUAGAGUUCAGAUUUCAGAUUUGGUUCCCGGGUUCAAGUUCAAAAUUUUUUUAAAAAAAAUGCAUCUUGAAUCUGACGCGUUGACAUCCCUAUAUAUGUUAUUCAAGGGGGGCACUUUCCCUAUUUUGGGUUCUACUUUCCAAUCCAUGGAAGAUACACAAGGGAAAGUAAGUUAGUGCUUGAAAGAUGCCUCCACUUGUAGUAAAGUCCUAGGUAAGGUGGUGGAGAUGGUGGUUUCUUCUUUUUUUUCUUUUUUUUUUCUUUUUUUCAAUUGGAGAGUGAUUUUGAGUGCAUAUCUAAUUAAGCAUGAGACAUGCACUAUAAAGCAAAAUAAUAAUAAUAAUAAUAAUAAUAAAUAAAAGACCUAGGCCAAAAGGAAAUGUCCAAAGCUUGGUAAUCCAAUGGGUUCUACUAGGAAUAAUAAAUUAAGAAGAUAGAUAUGUGGGAAGGGAAUCCCAGGCAUAGUGAUGUGUUUCCAUGUCUUUGCUUUUGUCAAUAGUUGGGCAUCUUUCAUGGUGGGGGUGCUUGGCAUCUCUUUCUUGUGAUUUGUGAAUGUCAUCAAUAAUUAAAACAAUAUAAAAAAAAAAAAAGUACACCAAACUUGUAUGAUCAGCACUAGGGUACUAUCUUCACAUUUACAUUGUGCAAAUAAAUGCCAGGACUUGAAUGGACAGCUGAAAGAGAGAGAAAGAGAGAGAAAGAGAGAGAGUCUCAAUUAUAUUAUUAUUUAAAAAAACUUCAAUAAUUGUCACUUCUAUAAUUUUAUAUUUUUUUAGUUUAGUACCAUAUAGUUUAUAAUAUAUUAUUUUAGUAUUUUGUGAUUUCGUUCUUCUUCUUUUCGUUAUUUUCUAUAUUAAUUUUUUCGUUAAAUUAAUAAUAAAGUUAAAACUAUAGAGUACUCAACUGAAAAUUCGAUAAACAAUAGAAUAUAAAGUGAAUAUUUAAUAAAUUAUAUGGUACUUAUUUAAAUCUUUUUGUAUGUAAUUUACAAAGAGUUAACGAUGAUGCUGACAGAAAAAAAAAAAAAAAAAAAAAAAAAAAAAAAAACUACGAAAUACUAAAAUGAUACACUUUAAAUGCAGGAUGCUAAAUUGAGAAAACAUAAAAUCACAGUAUUUGAAAUUUAUUCUAUUAUUUAUUAAGCAAUAUCAUAGAAGGAUCAUGUGUGACCCGAAAAAAAGAAAAAAGUUAAUGGAAGUUGUGUUGCAAUAAAAUGUUGAAAAAAAUAAAAAGAAAAAUCCAAAUCUCGAAAUUAGAAACUUUUUUUUUAUGCUUAUGACUUUGCAAGAAAAGAACAAGUUAAGGAUAUAUAUAAUUGAGCUGACAUAUUUUUAAGAGUAUUAAUUUUUUAAUAUUUUUAUAUUAUAUUCUAUGAUAGAACAUCUAUAUUAAGGAUCGAUACUGUUAAACAAAAUAUACAUAUGUCUUAUGAACAUGAUGUUUUUAAUAUUUAUAUUCACUAUUGUUCUUAACGUCUGAGCUAGAAAUUUUUUGAUAGAUAAAAAAUAUGAACUUAAAUUAAAUUAAAAAAAAUUAAAUAAUGCCAAGAAUCGGACAAGACUCAAACUUAGACCGCCUACUUUAAUGUUUCUAAAAGUUUCUAAAGGUUUCUAAUGACACAAUAGCGAAAAAUUUUCCUAAAUCUAGAAAGACUUUAAAAGUUUCUAAAUAACGUGGUUGGACCAAGACCCCCCGCUUCCACCACAGAUUUUUUUUUUCUUUUUGCAAAUUAUUUUUCAAAAUUUCCUACGUUGCCAAACUAUCGGCAAAUCAGAAGCACAAAAUCAAACUCGAUAACAAUAUCCUUUUUUUUCUUUGUGUUUUUUUUCUUUUGUCUCAGUUGGAUUUUUCAGCUGCUUGUUGCCUACUUACCUUGGACCUUUGGCCUACUUUAUUUAGGUAAUGAAUGAAGCUAGUAGAUUACUAUCUUUUUAUUCGAGGAAAAAAAAAUUGUGUUGGUAGUCAAUUUAGAGGUGCAAUCGUCGAAAAAUGGUGUGAAAGUAUGAAAUAUUUGAUACUUUCACAAAUAUUCUAACUCAAUAUUUCUCUAGUACCUACUACUUAGACGGCAAUUGUGCAUUCAAUGACAAGAGAAAUACUAAAUCUACAAUCCAAAAUGGUUGUAAUCUUUAAAACUUUUAAUCUAAUAAUUUAAGAAUUUAAACAUCUCUUUUUGGCUUUUAGUUAAAAAUAAAAAAUGGAUAAGAUUCGUGUGUUAAUAACGGCCUUUAGAUGCCUAAGUUGUAAGUUUACAAUCCAAAUACGCCUGCCAACCUAGCAGUGGGGCUGGCAAUCCAACUUGCUGUUCGCGAACCAGCUCGUGGUAGCUCGAAAUAAACUCCAGAUCGAUCGCUCGUUUCAAUAAACGAGCUAAAUUUUUCAGCUUGAAAUCUUAACAAGCUGAACACGAGCUACGAUGAUCAACUCGCUCAUAUUCGGCUCGAAAUAGCUUACGUAUAGAUACUAUUCAGGUAAUAGGCAAAUCUAAAUAUAAAGAGAUCUACAUUUUGUAACUUUUAAUUAUUAGAUUGAGAUUCUAUUUUUUUUAAAAAAAAAAAUUCAACUUUUCAUUUAGUACUAAGGCUGACAAUCUAACUUGUCGUUCGUGAGCACGAGCUAUAUUUUUCAGCUCGAUAUUUUAACAAGUCAACCCAUGUUCGAUUCGUUUAAUAAACGAAGGAAUACAAGCCGGCCCCAGCUCGUUCGUGUUCAGCAGGUAGACAGCCCUACCUACACACUGCGGGCCAAAAUAUAGAAAAGAUUUUUCAGCUCGAUAUUUUAACAAGCCAUCCCAUGUUCGAUUCGUUUAAUAAACGAAGGAAUACAAGCCAGUCCCAGCUCGCUCGUGUCCAGCAGGUUGACAGCCCAGUCAUCCCAUGUUCGAUUCAUUUAAUAAACGAAGGAAUACAAGUCGGUCCCAGCUCGCUUGUGUUCAGCAGGUUGACAGCCCAGUCAUCCCAUGUUGGAUUCGUUUAAUAAAAGAAGGAAUACAAGCCAAUCCCAUCUUGCUCGUGUCCAGCAGGUUGACGGCCCAGUCAUCCCAUGUUCGAUUCAUUUAAUAAACGAAAGAAUACAAACCGGUCCCAAUUCGCUCAUGUUUAGCAGGUUGACAGCCCACUCAUCCCAUGUUGGAUUCAUUUAAUAAACGAAGGAAUACAAGCCGGUCCCAGUUCGCUCAUGUUCGGCAGGUUGACAGCCCAGUCAUCCCAUGUUCGAUUCGUUUAAUAAACGAAAUAAUACAAGCCGGUCCCAGCUCGCUCGUGUUCGGCAGGUCGACGGCCGUACCUACACCCUGCGGGCCAAAAUCUAGAAAAGAUUUUUCCAGAGGCCACCAUGUGGUUGAUCCUGGCUUCCGAGCAAGGGUUGGGCGGCUAAUUAAACGUACAGCGGGUGAAAUGGUGCGUGUCUCCAUCUUGCAUGGGGACAAACUAGUCGCAGCUGAAUUGAAGCACCUUACAGUAAUAUAGAUAAUGAUCACAUUUACAUGGACCCAGGCAUACCUGGAGAAGAGAUAAGAAACCGCUCCCUUUCAUUGCAAAAAUUCUAGUAGGUUUAUGUGCAGUUUGUCAACAAUUAGGUUUGGAAUAAGGAAAAUUGGGUCUGCGUCUAUCAUGGUCUCGAUUAGUUAAUUCACAGAUAAUUUUCAAAUUAUUCCUGCGCUCCGGUAACUUGCGAGUUCUGGCGGUAGCGUGAUCUCGACUUCGCGUAAAGAGUAGAAGAAAGUCGAGAUUAUUGGCGCCAGUACCAUGUCGCAAGCAGAAGGCGGCCCACUAAUUUGUACAUCUCUUUUUGUAUUUGCAACGACCCGACCCUCUAGCAAUAAUAAUUUGUUUGGCCCAAACCAUCGGCCCAAAAUUUAUUGUUACUAGCGUGUAGGCCUCAUAUAAACUGAUUGGAAUCAGUAUCCCAUCCGAUCUCAUCCGAUGUGGGACUAUUGAGGGUGUUACAGUAUUCAACAGCUUCGCUCACUAGCGCCAAGCGAAUAGUCCUAAAUGCCGAUUUUAGAAUACAGAUAAUAUUUUUACAACACAUUGACUCCCAUGGACUGAGUCUCCCUCCCUCUCUCUAGCCAUGCUCCCAUGGGCUUCCAAACUGGUCCCCAAAAGAGUUUUACAUCGAUUAUGAAAUUGAAAUGGACUUUACAUAGACCAAUUUCGGUGCAAAUACGCUUGAUUAUGUAAUUGAUUUAGACCUCGAUAAAUUGACUACUCAAUUGCCUGAUUAGUCGACAAGCUUUCGAGAUCAAUCUUUCUCAGCUAGCUCUAUUAGAAAUAUCUGAUAUGCAUUAAUUUUUUCUAACAUGAAAAUAAUUCGCUUUGGCAGAUCCCUACUUCUUUCUUUUUUGAGAGAUAGAUAGCACGCUACCUGCUUCGUUUAUUUCAUUUAGAAAUAAACUUAGCUGAAAAUGUGAAUCAACUAGGAUUCGAACUUAGACCUCGGAUACCAACCACCAAAUCCUUUGCCACUUGCUCUAAGGGACGGUCGGUGGCAGAUCCCUACUUUCACUCCAAAAGAACUAGGUUUUAUACAUGUCUAAAUCAUAACGCGCCUUGUUAUUAAUUUCUGUAAUCGUGCUCCAUCAACUACAUUUCGUUAGGGAAAAUUCUUAAAUUAGUGUUGGUUAGUAUGCAUCAACCAUCAUUUUUUUGAAAUUAAAGUUUGGUUGAUACAGCUAGCACUGUAAAAUAGUACAAAACAACUGUUGAAUGCGUGACUUGCUCUGACACUACAACAGAAUUAGAUUAUAGGGACACAUGUUUGGGACACUUUUGAGUAAGUGUCCCAUUUAUGCUAAAACUUAAAAAAACAUCUACUAAUGCCUAAAUAUAAAGCCCAAUACAAUCAAAAAUAAAAAAUUACUCUACUCAACGCACCACACCCAGUCCAUUUGGCCCGAUUACAAACAGAAAAGAAAAAAAAAAAAAGAAAAAUCAAUUACCAUCUUUUCUUCUCUCUUCACUCAAUCCACUGAAAUUCUAGACGAAGAGCCUUUCCUAUCGUUCUCCUCCGCCACCGCAGCCAACUAGAUAGAGUUUCGGCGGUUGCUAAAUGCUUAAAUAAGUGUUGGUAAAUUAGCAGCACUCUUUUAGGUUAUAGCGACACUCUUUAACUGUCAUUAUAUAUCUAGCGACCCCACAUAUAGCAACACUUUUUAAAAGUGUCGGUAAUUUUAGCUAGCAGCAUUUUUUUGACAUGUACCUACAUUUAAAAGUGUCGCUAUAGACCGUUUUUGUUGUAGUGUGAUACCACUUGUUGGAAGCGUGAUUUUCUCUGAUACCAUUUGUUGGAACUGGUAUUUAUGCUGAUACCGAUUAUAUAACAUAAAAUCUAAAAUAUAACAAAAUAAUAUGAAGAAGAGAUAUUGGAGAAGGAAGAAAAUAACUAAACUAAUAAGCAACUAAUUACAUUCUGCGCAACACCCAUGCAGACAUGUCUACUAUGGCUUAUUCUCUAAUUAACCAAUACCUAACUAUAUAUAGCCAUCAAAUCAUAACAGAUGAUAAAUCUAAUUUUACUUUUAAUAAUUACAUAUCGUAAUUAUAAUCAAAUAACAACAUUGUACCCUCUAUGGUUGUGAGCCUAAGAAAUGUAAUCACUUGAGGAGCGCAUACUCUAGAUACUUACUCACAUAACGUGAUACCACUCGUUGGAAGCGUGAUUUUCUCUGAUACUACUUGUUGGAACUGGUAUUUAAGCUGACACCGAUUAUAUAACAUAAAAUCUAAAAUAUAACAAAAUAAUAUAGAGAAGAGGUAUUGGAGAAGGAAGAAAAUAACUAAACUAAUAAGCAAUUAAUUACAUUCUGGGCAACACCCAUGAAGACAUGUCUACUAUAACUUAUUCUCUAAUUAACCCCUGCCUAAUUAUAUAUAACCAUCAAAUCAUAACAGAUGAUAAAUCCAAUUUUACUUCGGAUAAUUACAUAUCCUAAUCAUAAUCGAAUAACAACAUUGUACCCUAUGUGAUUGUGAGCCUAAGAAAUGUAAUCACUUGAGGAGUGCAUACUCUAGAUAUUUACUCACAUAAUUUUGGAGAAGAUAUUCAUCUUGUUAGUGUUAGGAAAAAAUAUCCUGGUGGUAGGGACAGCAACAUUAUGUGAUCUCUGUUGUUGUGAGACUGAGACUUAUAAUUAGAAGAAGAUUUUUAUCUCGUCAGUGCUAUGAAAAAUAAUCCUUACUGAUGCCAACCUAUGAAAAAGAGGAUGGCAAGAUUAACAAUAUUGUGUGCUCUGUGGCUGUGAACCUAAGAGAUAAAAUCGUUUGUUCUUGCGGUAGAUAUAUACUCAUAUCAUUAGAAAAAGAUUUUAUCGCGUUAGUCCCGCGAAAAAAAUAUCUUUUCUGGUGACAUCCUGUAACGAUCGAUCUGACUCCCCAGUAAUAAUAACUCGUUGUUGGUAUUGCUACGGCGGGACAGACGCAUCAUCUUAUAUAUUAAGAGAAGGGAUCACAAACACAUAAAUACGGAAUGUUAAUCGAAACUAUAAAGCAGUAGCGAAACAAAUUCAAAUAUACGCUUACUUCUAUCCAUCCUCACACGUCCUAAUAAGCUCUCACAGUCCUAUACCUUAAAAGUCUUUAGAGAUUUUAAACUUAUACUCUGAUACCAUUUCUCUAUUACGCUUCGAGUUCGGGGCGGGACACAUCCUACAAAAAAGAGGAUUGCGGGAACAACAACAGUAUAUCCUCUGUGGUCGUGAACCUGAGAUAUGUAAUCACUUGUUCUUGAGGUGUAUAUGCUCUAGAUAUAUACUCGCAUAAUUAGAAGAAGAUUUUCACAUUUUCAGUACUACGAAAAAAUUUCCUUACUAGUGAAAAUGUAUAAAAAGAGGAUAGAGGGGACGACAACACUAUAUCCUUUGUGGUUGUAACCCGAGACAUGUAAUCACUUGUUCUUGAGGUGUGCAUUCUCUAUAUAUAUUCACAUAAUUAGAAGAAGAUUUUUAUCUCCCUAGCGUUAUUGAAAAAUAUCCUUGCUAGUGACAACUUAGAAAAAAAGAGAAUGGCGGGGACAACAGCACCAUGUCCUAUAAGGUUGUAAUUACCUGAUAUGUAAUUAUUUGUUCUUGAGGUGUAAUACUCUAUAGAUAUAUACUCACAUGAUCAGAUGAAGAUUUUCAUCUCCUUAAUGCUAUGUGAAAUAUCCUUACUGGUGACAACCUACAAAAAAGAGGAUAGCGAGAAUAACAGCAGUACCAUACCACUACAGCAGAAUUAGAUUAUAGGGACAUAUUUUUGGAACACUUUUAUAUAAGUGUCACAUUUAUUCUAAAAUUUUUUUAAAAAAAUCUACUAAGACCUAAAUAUAAAGCUCAAUCCAACCAAAAAUAAAAAGUUCCUCCAUUCAGCCAACCACACCCAAUCCAUUCAACCCGAUUACAAAUAAAAAAAAAAAAAAAAGGAAAAAUUGAUCAGCAUCUCUCCUUCUCCUCCUCCACCGCCGUAGCCGACGAGGUAAAAUUCUGGCGGCUGGAGUUCGGCCGCGAGUAUCUAGCAAGAAUCAUAGAGGACUAUGAUCACCAUGUAUCCCUCCGCCAAAAGUCUCUGAAGGAGUGAGUGCCAAAUAUCAAAACGGCCCUACCUACAGCGACCCCACAUAUAGCAACAUUUUAAAAAAGGUCGGUAAUUUAGCCACCAGCACUUUUUUGAUCUGCACCGAUAUUUAAAAAUGUCGCUAUAUACCGUUUUUAUUGUAGUGUUAUAUAUGUAUCCUCCUUAUUUGUGAACCUAAGACAUAUAAAAUCACUUGUUCUUGAGAUGUGCAUAUUCUUAGAUAUACACUUAUAUGUGGAAGCUUUCCCUUUCGACCAACAGUAACAAGAGAAGAAGAAAGGGGUUGGCCUCACUCUCGGCCGCCUGGUGGACGGUCUAGCACGAAAAGAAUAAUGUCAUGUUUUUUUUUUUUUUUUUUUUUUUUUUUUUUUUUUUUUUUUUUUUGAGAUUAUCGCGCAAAUCUGAUGCAGAUCCCACACGGUAUAAGAAGAGUAAUAGAGACGUGGACGGAGAAUUGUAGUUAACUAUAACCUCACGCAUAUAUGUCUCUUUUGCAUUUUACUCUUCUUCCAUCUCCUUUUGCUUUUUUUGUUUUCUUUCUCUUCGCCCUCAUAUUUUCUUUUCCUCUUUUCCCUCCUAUUCUCAUUUUUUAUGUCUCCCUAAUUCUAAAAAGUUCAUUUUGUUCUGGUAAAUGAAGCAGAUAGUUUAUUACCUUUUUCUAUUAAAAAAUAAUAAUAAUGACUUCAACUAUGCUAUUUCGUUUAAAUCCACAAAUUGUAUUCUUUUUUUUUUCCAAUAAAUGGUCGCAAAAUAAUCCACCUUUUUUUUAAAUUUGUACCGGUUGAUUUUUUUACUUCGUACUCUAGCUUACUUAAUGGAUCAAAGAAUUUUGAGAAAACCAACUGUCUCUAGCGCAAAUGGUAAAAGAUUUCGUGGUUGGUAUCGAAAGUUCUAAUUAAGUUUACAAACUAGUUGUCUCACAUUUCUAAUUAAGUGGAUAGCAUGUUAUAUUUCUCUCAAAAAAAAAAAAAAAUUGAGAGAAUGGUAGUAUGAUACCUACUACGUCCAUUAACACUUUUUUUUUUUUGAGAGAGAUAGGUAGCACGCUAUCCGUUUCGUUUAUUUCAUUUAGAAAUAAACGAAGCUGAAAAUGUGAAUCAUGCAACUAGGAUUCGAGCUUGGGUAUCGGAUACCAACCAUCAAGCCCUUUGCCACUUGCUCUAGUGACGGCCGGUUACUACGUUCAUUAACUUAAUGAACUAAAAAUGUGAAGCAACUAAAUUUCGAAUUUAGGGUUUCGAAUACCAAUUAUCAAAUUCUUUGUCACUAGGACUAUUGAUUAUAAAUAUCAAGGAAUUAAUGUUAAUUCUAUUUUAGAAAAUAUUCCUUCAAAAAUUAGUUGUAACAUUUUGUAAUGAUGUAAUAUGCAUGAUUCCUUACUUUGAUGACUUUGUCCACUAAUUAAUACAAUUCUAAUUAAUUAAGUUGUUCAAUUACCUUAAGUAGUGGGAAACUAAUUAAUUAACCUCCUACCACGUCAGUUGGAGUUCGACCUUUCCAUGCCUUAUUUUGAAAGUUAGGUUACAAAAGUUGACCCAAAUUUAAUUACGUACGCGACUUGAUCUUAACAAUAGACCUGGCAAUCUUAACCCAAAUCUGCAGGUACCCACGGAUUACCCACAAAUUUAUGGAUAUGAGUACCAACUUUUCCAAUCCAAAAAAUUACGGGUAAAACGAAUAGGUACUCAUUAAGCAAUGAGCAUUUUGGGUAACCCGCAGGUACCCAUGGGUAUCCGCACAUAUAUCUUUUAGUUAUAAAAUAUAUUUUCUUAAUUAAUAUAUAUUUUUUAUUUACUCAUCCUAAAAAUUCUAAUACUAAUUUCUUAUUACGUGUCUUUUAUAUUAUAAAAUAUUUCUGUUUUAAGACUUUAAAUAUUUUUAUUAUAUGUUAUGGUAUUUUAAAUAAUGAGUUAUAUUACUUUUUUAAAACUUAUAUAUAUGUGUGUUUUGCAUUUAAAAAAUAUAAGAACAAAAAAAAAAUUGAGGGUAACCCGCAUACCCACCCGCUCACCCGUAGGCGGGUAUGGGUAAAGAUAUUAACUAUCUAAAAAUUUGCGGGUAAAUUUUAUCCAUGCCCAAGUAACCUGUGGAUACAAUAACCUAUCCGCGGAUUAUCCAACCCGCCCAUUUAUCAGGUCUAUUUAACAACAACAAUGUUUUAUUACUUAAUUAAUUAAACUAUCUAUAUGGUGGAACAAAAAAAAUGCAUGACUAAUUAAUCCAAUGGAUUAGUAUAAUAAUUGAAUUAUUCGUUGGUCGCCACUUGCGAUCGACCACUGUAAUUAACACGGUAAUUAAUUAAACAUGUUCUUGGAGACUUUGGACCAUAUCUAUGAAAAGGAAGCAUAUAUACAACUUUGAUUAUUAGUAAUAAUAAUAAAAUAAAAGGUUUAAACUUAAGGAUCUUCUUAUUCCUAAUUAAUUUAAUCAUGGAGACAAAGCAAAGUUAGGUUAGGUUACUAUCGGGUGGCCACAAACCAACAAAGUAUGUAAUUGAGUGUUACAACUAGAUGCUUAGAACAAGCAAUUAAUAGGCAAUAUCUUUGCAUCUAACUUUAUUAGAGAUUCGGAUAGGAUAUUAUAUUAGCGAUAAUUAACUUGUUUAAUUAAUGGUAACAAAAGAUGAUGAAAUGUGCUCAAACAUAUUAUAUUAGGGAUAAUAGCUAUAAUUAAAGGUUACAUUUGCUUGGUUUAGACUUUGGUAUAUAUAUAUAUAUAUAUAUAUAAUGCAAUCCCCACUUGGCCAAAUCAUAUGUAGCCACCAUAGGAAUUUUCUUUAAAAUGUGUGACACACUUUAUAAUAA
Molecule: long non-coding RNA, 31427 nt
Filed under: Ananas comosus (pineapple)
Lineage: Eukaryota; Viridiplantae; Streptophyta; Magnoliopsida; Poales; Bromeliaceae
Description: long non-coding RNA (ACOM_LNC017049)
Source: RNAcentral